UAGCGGGAUGCUUUACACAUGCAAGUCGAACGGCAGCACGAGAGAGCUUGCUCUCUUGGUGGCGAGUGGCGGACGGGUGAGUAAUGUAUCGGAACGUGCCCAGUAGCGGGGGAUAACUACUCGAAAGAGUGGCUAAUACCGCAUACGCCCUACGGGGGAAAGGGGGGGAUCGCAAGACCUCUCACUAUUGGAGCGGCCGAUAUCGGAUUAGCUAGUUGGUGGGGUAAAGGCCUACCAAGGCGACGAUCCGUAGCUGGUUUGAGAGGACGACCAGCCACACUGGGACUGAGACACGGCCCAGACUCCUACGGGAGGCAGCAGUGGGGAAUUUUGGACAAUGGGGGAAACCCUGAUCCAGCCAUCCCGCGUGUGUGAUGAAGGCCUUCGGGUUGUAAAGCACUUUUGACAGGGAAGAAAUGACAGGAGCUAAUAACUUCUGUAGAUGACGGUACCUGUAGAAUAAGCACCGGCUAACUACGUGCCAGCAGCCGCGGUAAUACGUAGGGUGCAAGCGUUAAUCGGAAUUACUGGGCGUAAAGGGUACGCAGGCGGCUAGGAAAGAAAGAUGUGAAAUCCCAGGGCUCAACCUUGGAACUGCAUUUUUAACUACCUGGCUAGAGUAUGUCAGAGGGGGGUAGAAUUCCACGUGUAGCAGUGAAAUGCGUAGAGAUGUGGAGGAAUACCGAUGGCGAAGGCAGCCCCCUGGGAUAAUACUGACG
This 719-nucleotide ribosomal RNA is filed under the name Alcaligenes sp. Its description in RNAcentral is "bacterial SSU rRNA". It matches the Rfam family "Bacterial small subunit ribosomal RNA", at positions 37 to 745 of the family's 1533-position model. Lineage: Bacteria; Pseudomonadati; Pseudomonadota; Betaproteobacteria; Burkholderiales; Alcaligenaceae. The record is from RNAcentral.